This 974-nucleotide ribosomal RNA is filed under the name uncultured eukaryote. Its description in RNAcentral is "SSU rRNA". It matches the Rfam family "Eukaryotic small subunit ribosomal RNA", at positions 122 to 1118 of the family's 1831-position model. The record is from RNAcentral.
UGAUAUCGAUUUACAUGGAUAACCGUGGUAAUUCUAGAGCUAAUACAUGCUGGUGAGCCCGACUCUUUGGAAGGGCGGUAUUUAUUAGAUAACAAACCAAUAUUGCUUUGCUCUAUUGUGGUGACUCAUAAUAACUGAUCGAAUCGCAAAGCCUUUGGCUGCGAUACAUCAUUCAAGUUUCUGCCCCAUCAGCUUCCGUUGGUAGUGUAUUGGACUACCAUGGCGUUCACGGGUAACGGAGGAUUAGGGUUCGAUUCCGGAGAGGGAGCCUGAGAAACGGCUACCACAUCUAAGGAAGGCAGCAGGCGCGUAAAUUACCCAAUCCUGAUUCAGGGAGGUAGUGACAAGAAAUAACGGACCGAAGCCUUCGGGUUUCGGGACUGCAAUGAGCCGAAUUUACACCCCUUUGUGAGAAUCGAUUGGAGGGCAAGUCUGGUGCCAGCAGCCGCGGUAAUUCCAGCUCCAAUAGCGUAUAUUAAAGUUGUUGCAGUUAAAAAGCUCGUAGUUGGAUUUCUGGGAGGGUGCCAAUGUCCGCUAACGUGCGUGCGCAGCGGCGCCCUUCCAUCCUUCUGUUAACGCUUCAUGGCAUUCAUUUGCUGGUCGCGGGCUCAGAUAUUUUACCUUGAGAAAAUUAGAGUGUUUCAGGCAGGCUAGGCCGGAAUACAUUAGCAUGGAAUAAUGGAACAGGACUGAUGGUCUCUUUGUUGGUUUGAGGGACUGCAGUAAUGAUUAAUAGGGAUAGUUGGGGGCAUUAGUAUUUAAUUGUCAGAGGUGGAAUUCUCAGAUUUGUUAAAGACUAACUUAUGCGAAAGCAUUUGCCAAGGAUGUUUUCAUUAAUCAAGAACGAAAGUUAGGGGAUCAAAGACGAUCAGAUACCGUCCUAGUCUUGACCAUAAACUAUGCCGACUCGGGAUCGGGGGCGAGCACUAUCCGCCCUCGGCACCGUAUGAGAAUCAAAGUCUUUGGGUUCUGGG